AUGAGGACGAGGGUGUUCUCUCUAGGCUUCAUAAAGUAUUGUGGUAUGUGGUACCUUCAGAAAAGGAAGCAAAUGAGACAUCAAUUGUUGUUCAAUGUUCGUCAUACGAGUUCAAGAAAGGAAUUUGUGUCACUAGUAGGAACUAGUUGUAGUACUGACAAGGACUGGGAUGGCUGUCCGCUAGGGGUUUUGAAGGAGGCCCAAUACCGUCCGAUGCUCUCUCCAUUGACCCACACCUCACCCUUGCCCAUACUACUGAGGUUCAGCGUGACUGGGUCAUUCCCCCAUGGUGUGUCAAAUGUCGUCUGCACCAAACGACAACAAUUUCCCGAAGCUGUCGGUUACUAUCACUGUGGAAUGAACAUGUAA
RNAcentral lists this ribosomal RNA (369 nucleotides) under Triticum aestivum (bread wheat). Its description in RNAcentral is "partial small subunit ribosomal RNA". The record is from RNAcentral. Lineage: Eukaryota; Viridiplantae; Streptophyta; Magnoliopsida; Poales; Poaceae.